UACAAUAAUCCCAUUUUAAGUGUCACCAACGUUCUUUUAUAUAACUUGGAGGAAGUCGGGUGAAAAUCCCGAGCUGACCCGCAACUGUGAUUCCGCGAAAGCGGAUAAGCCAGAACUUCCAUAACUGUGAUAUC
This 134-nucleotide non-coding RNA is filed under the name Spirochaetota bacterium. The record is from RNAcentral. Lineage: Bacteria; Pseudomonadati; Spirochaetota.